This is a non-coding RNA of Plectosphaerella cucumerina, 109 nucleotides long. NCBI's taxonomy places the organism in Eukaryota, Fungi, Ascomycota, Sordariomycetes, Glomerellales, Plectosphaerellaceae. The record is from the annotation of a GenBank genome assembly.
GGCAAGGUGGCCGAGUGGUUAAGGCGAUAGACUCGAAUGCCCCGUCUGACGGUAAUUGUUCGGCUAUCUAUUGGGUUCGCCCGCGUAGGUUCAAAUCCUGCCCUUGUCG